AGGCCGGUGGCGGAAAGAAUACGCACGGGAUUGCAACUCCCGGUAUCCAGGUUCAAGUCCUGGCUGGCCCUCCA
RNAcentral lists this transfer RNA (74 nucleotides) under Devosia sp. I507. RNAcentral's name for it is "tRNA-Cys". It matches the Rfam family "tRNA". From Rfam's summary of the family: Transfer RNA (tRNA) molecules are approximately 80 nucleotides in length. Lineage: Bacteria; Pseudomonadati; Pseudomonadota; Alphaproteobacteria; Hyphomicrobiales; Devosiaceae. The record is from RNAcentral.